CGCACCGAGGAGGCCGCCGGGGGUGCCGCGGUCAUGCCGGCCGGGGUUUUAUAGCGGAGCCGCGACGGGCGGGAGCCUCGACAGCAGGACACCGGCUGCUCCAAACUUAAUUUCUAAGCAUCGCAAAGACUUCUUCCAACACAGAGUGAGGACGCCACUAAAUUCCUGACCCAUAAAGCUGCCAGCCCAGGCCCAGCAGUCCCAGCCUCACCACAGCCUCCUUCCUCUUACCACACAAAGUCUCUGAGUGUCCUGUGUUCAAGUCCCUGCUCUUCUUCUGACUGAGGGACGACCUUGGGCAACUCUCCUACUCCUCUCUGAUUGCCACUUCCUCAUCUAUAAAGUGGGGAUGACAACCCUGCCCUGCUGACUUCUUGCCAAUAAACAGUUACUGAGCCAGAGCCUGCCCAGCCCAGACUUUCACAACCGGCCUCAUGGUUCCUGGGUGAGGCCAUGACCUGCUGUGGAUGCAGAAAUGAAUCACAGCUCUCAUCCUCUGGGGAUUUUCACACCAUGGAACAGAAGGAGGCACUCAGAAAGCUACAGGGCUUUGAGAUGAGAUAACCCUAGGUCACUUCUGGCUCCAUCCACCUGCUCUGUGAUGUUAGCAGAGCCUUGGUUUUUCCUCACGUGUAAAGUGAAAACUAUUUCCCCAUCUUCCUCAUAGAUUGCUGUGAGAAUUCAGUGACAAAAGUCGGAGAAGGGCCGGCCCUGGGCCUGGACGCAUGAGCACAUGUCACCAUGACUUCUAAGUGGAAGUCCUUUUAACUGGAUUGAACCUGACCCUAGACAGGUGUGGAUGUGGCAUUGGGUGGAAGGGGACACUGGGCUAAGUCCAGGGAGGGGCCCUGGCACACCCAGGCUCCACCUGAUCUCCCAAGACCUAGGGAGGGAUGAGGAAGGCUGAGGGGCAUGGUCAGGAUUCAAGUAGGUGAUGCUGAGUGAAAGGCCUUGCAGUGGUCCAGGCACUUAGUAAGUGCUCAUUAAACCCCAGCUGUAAGAAUAGCUGUUACGGGCAACAGUAGAAGAUGCCCAUGAUAUUACAGGGGCCCAGAGGAGUGGCACCUGGCCCAGCUGGUGGCCGGGGAGUUGGGGAAAGCCUCCUGGAGGAGAUGAGACUCAAGCCAAGUAUUGGAAGACAAGUAGAUGUUAACAUAAAAAGGGAAGGGAAAUCCAGGCAGAGGAAACUGACUGAGAAAAGGCAUAGAGGUGGGGUGAGAAGGGGAGUGCUGGGAGAUGAGACUGGAGGCGUAUUUGGUACCAGACAGGGAGGACUUGUUUGCUGGGAUUAGAACAUUGGACUGAACUUUCCUUUUAUUUUUUUAAUUGCUGUAUAGUUGACUUAUAAUGUUGUGUUAGUUUCUGAUGUACAGCAAAGUGAUUCAAUUAUAUAUAAACAUAUUCUUUUUCAUAUUCUUUCUCAUCAUGGUUUAUUACAGGAUGUUGACUAUAGUUCCCUAUGCUAUACAGUAGGACUUUGUUUAUCUAUUUUAUAUAUAGUAGUUUUUAUCUGCUAAUCCCAAAUUCCCUAUUUAUCGCUCCCCCAUCCCCUUUCGCCUUUUUUUUGUUAUUUAUUUAUUGAAGUGUAUUCAGUUUACAGUGUUGUGUCAAUCUCUGGUGCACAGCAUAAAGUUUCAGUCAUACAUAUACAUUCGUAUAUUCAUUUUCAUGUUCUUUUUCAGUAUAGGUUACUACAAAAUUUGAACAUGGUUCACUGUGCUAUAAACUUGUGGUUUGUUUAUUUUAUAUAGUUAGUAUCUGCAAAUCUCGAACUCCCAGUUUAUCCCUUCCUGACCCCUUUCCUCCUGGU
Non-coding RNA from Vicugna pacos (alpaca), 1810 nucleotides. The record is from RefSeq and is a predicted model, not a curated record. NCBI's taxonomy places the organism in Eukaryota, Metazoa, Chordata, Mammalia, Artiodactyla, Camelidae.